RNAcentral lists this ribosomal RNA (444 nucleotides) under uncultured bacterium. RNAcentral's name for it is "bacterial SSU rRNA". It matches the Rfam family "Bacterial small subunit ribosomal RNA", at positions 338 to 795 of the family's 1533-position model. The record is from RNAcentral.
CCUACNGGUCGCACCAGUGGGGAAUCUUGGACAAUGGGCGAAAGCCCGAUCCAGCAAUAUCGCGUGAGUGAAGAAGGGCAAUGCCGCUUGUAAAGCUCUCUCGUCGANUGCGCGAUCAUGANAGGNCUCGAGGAAGAAGCCCCGGCUAACUUCGUGCCAGCAGCCGCGGUAAUACGAAGGGGGCUAGCGUUGUUCGGAAUUACUGGGCGUAAAGAGCGCGUAGGCGGAUAGAUAAGUCAGAGGUGAAAUCCCGGGGCUCAACCCCGGAAUUGCCUUUGAUACUGUUUAUCUUGAGUGCAGAAGAGGUAAGUGGAAUUCCGAGUGUAGAGGUGAAAUUCGUAGAUAUUCGGAGGAACACCAGUGGCGAAGGCGGCUUACUGGUCUGCAACUGACGCUGAGGCGCGAAAGCGUGGGGAGCAAACAGGAUUAGAUACCCGCGUAGUC